Molecule: ribosomal RNA, 523 nt
Filed under: Agriotypus armatus
Lineage: Eukaryota; Metazoa; Arthropoda; Insecta; Hymenoptera; Ichneumonidae
Description: partial 16S large subunit ribosomal RNA
Rfam family: Archaeal large subunit ribosomal RNA (bases 390-523)
Source: RNAcentral
ACAUGUUCUUUAGAAAAUAAUUAAAGGUCGGGCCUGCUCAAUGAAUAAUUUAAAUAGCUGCGGUAUAUUAACCGUACAAAGGUAGCAUAAUCAAUAGUUUUUUAAUUGAAAGCUGGAAUGAAUGGUUUGAUGAAAUUUAAAUUGUAUCAGUUUUAUUAAGAUUUAAAAUUUUCUUUCUAGUUAAAAUGCUAGAUUAUAUUUAAAAGACGAGAAGACCCUAUAGAUUUUAAUAAUUAUUUAUAUUUAAUUUAUAAAUAUAUAAAUAAAAUUAAAAUUAAGUAUUUAUUUGAUUGGGGUAAUUAUUAAAUUUAAUAAAUUUUAAUUUUUUAAAACAUAGAUAAAAGAAUAUUUAAUCCUAAAAUUUGGAGAAUAAAAUAAAAUACCUUAGGGAUAACAGCGUAAUUUUUUUGGGGAGAUCUAAUUUAUAAAAAAGUUUGCGACCUCGAUGUUGAAUUAAGAUUAAAUUUUAAUGUAGAAGUUAAAAAUUUUUGGUCUGUUCGACCAUUGAAAUCUUACGUGAUCU